RNAcentral lists this ribosomal RNA (497 nucleotides) under uncultured bacterium. Its description in RNAcentral is "partial 16S ribosomal RNA". It matches the Rfam family "Bacterial small subunit ribosomal RNA", at positions 28 to 507 of the family's 1533-position model. The record is from RNAcentral.
GAUGAACGCUGGCGGUGUGCCUAAUACAUGCAAGUCGAGCGAACAGACGAGGAGCUUACUCCUCUGACGUUAGCGGCGGACGGGUGAGUAACACGUGGAUAACCUACCUAUAAGACUGGGAUAACUUCGGGAAACCGGAGCUAAUACCGGAUAACAUGUUGAACCGCAUGGUUCAACAGUGAAAGACGGUCUUGCUGUCACUUAUAGAUGGAUCCGCGUCGCAUUAGCUAGUUGGUAAGGUAACGGCUUACCAAGGCAACGAUGCGUAGCCGACCUGAGAGGGUGAUCGGCCACACUGGAACGGAGACACGGUCCAGACUCCUACGGGAGGCAGCAGUAGGGAAUCUUACGCAAUGGGCGAAAGCAUGACGGAGCAACGCCGCGUGAGUGAAGAAGGUCUUCGGAUCGUAAAACUCUGUUAUUAGGGAAGAACAAAUGUGUAAGUAACUAUGCACGUCUUGACGGUACCUAAUCAGAAAGCAACGGCUAACUACGUG